CGAGAGGGCCGGGUGAUCGCGGCGCCGGGGACCGCGUCCGCACGUGUGCGGGCGUGGGCCCGGUGUCGAGGAAAGUCCGGACUCCUCAGAGCACGGUGGUUGUUAACGGCAACCCGGGGUGACCCGCGGGCUAGUGCCACAGAAAACAGACCGCCUCGACCGUCCCCGGCCAGUUCCGGGGUCGGGCCGGGGUAAGGGUGAAACGGUGCGGUAAGAGCGCACCAGUGCGCCGGGUGACCGGCGUAGCUAGGUAAACCCCACCGGGAGCAAGGUCAAGUGGCCGCGACCGUUUUUUACGGUGCGGCCGUGCCCCGUCGACUGCUCGUCGGUGAAGGGGCAGGUAGACCGCUUGAGGCAGCCGGUGACGGCUGACCCAGAUGGAUGAUCGCCGCCGCACAUGCCCGGGCCCGCGUGCCCGGGGCGGGACAGAAUCCGGCUCACAGGCCCUCUCGACGC
RNAcentral lists this RNase P RNA (456 nucleotides) under Corynebacterium sp. Its description in RNAcentral is "RNase P RNA component class A". It matches the Rfam family "Bacterial RNase P class A". Rfam says of the family: Ribonuclease P (RNase P) is a ubiquitous endoribonuclease, found in archaea, bacteria and eukarya as well as chloroplasts and mitochondria. Its best characterised activity is the generation of mature 5'-ends of tRNAs by cleaving the 5'-leader elements of precursor-tRNAs. Cellular RNase Ps are ribonucleoproteins. Lineage: Bacteria; Bacillati; Actinomycetota; Actinomycetes; Mycobacteriales; Corynebacteriaceae. RNAcentral also lists the same sequence under 4 other names. The record is from RNAcentral.